AGAGUUUGAUCAUGGCUCAGAUUGAACGCUGGCGGCGUGCUUAACACAUGCAAGUCGUGCGGUAACAGGCGUAGCAAUACGUGCUGACGAGCGGCGAACGGGUGCGGUAAUACAUGGGAAUCUGCCCUUUAGUGGGGAAUAACCCGGCGAAAGCCGGGCUAAUGCCGCAUGAGAUCUCCGGAUGAAAGCGGGGGACCGUAAGGCCUCGCGCUGAUGGAUGAGCCCAUGUCGGAUUAGCUAGUUGGUGAGGUAAUGGCUCACCAAGGCGACGAUCCGUAGCUGGUUUGAGAGGACGGC
RNAcentral lists this ribosomal RNA (297 nucleotides) under uncultured Gammaproteobacteria bacterium. RNAcentral describes it as "partial 16S ribosomal RNA". It matches the Rfam family "Bacterial small subunit ribosomal RNA", at positions 8 to 304 of the family's 1533-position model. Lineage: Bacteria; Pseudomonadati; Pseudomonadota; Gammaproteobacteria. The record is from RNAcentral.